This 277-nucleotide ribosomal RNA is filed under the name uncultured bacterium. RNAcentral describes it as "partial 16S ribosomal RNA". It matches the Rfam family "Bacterial small subunit ribosomal RNA", at positions 28 to 297 of the family's 1533-position model. The record is from RNAcentral.
GACGAACGCUGGCGGCGUGCUUUAGGCAUGCAAGUCGAACGAGAAAGCCCUUUUAGGGUGAGUACAGUGGCGAACGGGUGAGUAACACGUGGGCAACCUGCCCCUCGCAGGGGGAUAACCGGAGGAAACUCCGGCUAAUACCCCGUACGCUUGCAGGAUCGCAUGUUCCUGCAAGGAAAGGUAGCUUCGGCCAUCCGGCGAGGGAUGGGCCCGCGGCGCAUUAGCUAGUUGGUGAGGUAACGGCUCACCAAGGCGACGAUGCGUAGCUGGUCUGAGA